GACGAACGCUGGCGGCGUGCCUAACACAUGCAAGUCGAGCGGAGUCAGUAAGAAGAAGUUUUCGGAUGGAAUCUUAUUGAUUUAGCGGCGGACGGGUGAGUAACGCGUGAGCGACCAACCUUGCACAGGGGGAUAACGGACCGAAAGGUUCACUAAUACCGCAUGAGACCACGAUGUUGCAUGACACAGAGGUCAAAGGAGCAAUGCGGUGCAAGACGGGCUCGCGUCCGAUUAGGUAGUUGGAGGGGUAACGGCCCACCAAGCCUAUGAUCGGUAGCCGACCUGAGAGGGUGAUCGGCCACAUUGGAACUGAGAUACGGUCCAAACUCCUACGGGAGGCAGCAGUGGGGAAUAUUGGGCAAUGGGGGAAACCCUGACCCAGCAACGCCGCGUGAAGGAAGAAGGUUUUCGGAUUGUAAACUUCUGUCCUUGGUGAAGAGAAGAAGACGGUAGCCAAGGAGGAAGCCCCGGCUAACUACGUGCCAGCCGCCGCCGUAA
Molecule: ribosomal RNA, 498 nt
Filed under: uncultured bacterium
Lineage: Bacteria
Description: partial 16S ribosomal RNA
Rfam family: Bacterial small subunit ribosomal RNA
Source: RNAcentral